UGUCUCCCCAAAACCAAACCCGAUGAUGAACAACCUUUCCCCGCCAUUAUUGGACGGGUCGCGUAUUUAAUCUCGGGAGUGCUUAAAACCCAUAUUCAGUCAAACAUAUUCAAUCUACAAAUCAGUCCAAACAUUUACUCAAACUCAGUUAAACCCAUAUUUCAACCCAAACCAUUUUAAUUCAUUUCGUUUUAUGUAUUAAUUAAGCCCGAUUAGUAAAUAAUAUAACCCUAAGCCUGAAAUAAGUUCGGAACAGCUGAAACGACGCCUAAUUAUCACGUGCUUAAUGCUUAAGAAAAAGAUAAAAUGAAUUUAAACCGAAUUCAGGAAAACUGAUUUGCCGUGCCACGGCAAAAAUGCCGCCUCACGGCAUGUUUUGCCGCGUCACGGCACUACUACAUUUUUAAUCAAAUGCAACGGCUAAAAACGAGCUAUUGCAACGGCUCAUUUUAUUUCCGUUGCAUUAGAUAAGCCUAAUACAACGACAUAAACUUUGUACAUCAAUAGGUGGAGCUAACGCAACGGCUUUAAGAAGCCGUUGCAUUAGGUGUACUAAUACAAACCUGAAAGGCUAUUGCCACGGCAGACCGGUGUGAAUACUAUGAAAAAAAAACGGAAAUAUCUUCUUUCUCUUUCCGCGAAAUCUCCUCCUCUCUCACAGUCUCACUUACCUUAGCUUCUAUCUCCUCUUCAUUCUCCUUCAUCUUCUAUGAGGGCUGCGAUUUUGAGCCGAUUUUGAGCAGCCGCGACUUUCCCAGUCACCGUCAUCCUCACCGAAGCUGCUUCGAGGUUCUCAUGAUCCACUAUCACCCUCACGCUUCACCUGCUCUCCACGGCUCCACCACUAUCGUCUCUCUUCGCCGUCGCAUUCUUCUCCGCUCCUCGAAAUCUUUCCUUUAUCAAUGUCUUCUGCAUAGAUCUGGUCUAAGUAAUCUCUCUUUCUUUAUUUUAAAGAUUCAAUUUGAAUUGAACAAGUUUGAAAUUCUAGGGUUAAUUUGAUGAAGACAAUUGUGUUAUUUAUAGUUAUUACAUUUUAAUGUUGAUUAUUGUUCAUAACAAUCGUGCUAUCUAAGUACGGAGUAGUCAAUUUGUAGCAUUUUUCUCCGUUCUUUCUCAAAUACCAACUUCGCUUUUCAGUCUGAAUGGCGAAAUUACUCCCUCGAAGAAGCUAUUUCGUUUGUUGGGCGAAAUGUGACUGUCAUUGUUUGUAUAGUUAGUGAACCUUACUUUGAUUUUUUGAACAAUUGGUUAAUUAGUGUACAUCAAGAUAAAAUUUUGGUGAUUACUGAAGAUUAUAACACUUCGUAUCGGGUUAAUCAAAGGUGGUCUGGUCAUGCUGUGCUAAUUCCUCCAGUUCUUGAAUCUAAUUCUGCCCAUAAAUUUGGUUCCUUGGUAUGAUUUUUCUUGCCAUAUUUUUUUCAAUUUAAUUUAUCAUAUUGCUGUUGAUUACUAUUGCUAUUGGUUUUUUUUUGUUUUUUAAGGUUUUGAUAUGAUUUAGGUGUUUGAUCUUAUGUGAACUUGUUAUUUAUAAGGGCUAGUGUGUUAGUAAAUAGUUUGUGAGAUUGUGAUGUUAGUUGUCGUCAUGCGUGUUUUUUUAUUGUGAAAAUGUUGUUAUAAUUUCAUCUUCCGGACUACCAUGAGAUUAUUGAGAAUCCCAUGGAUUUUGAAACAGUGAGAAAGAAACUCUUGGGUGGCUUAUAUGUGAUUUUGCAGCAGCUUGAGGACGACAUAAAUUUAAUAUGUUCAUAAAUUUCUUUACUGGUUACCUGUCUUAGUGCACAUAAUUUUUCUUAAGAAAUGCAAAUGAGCAUUUUUACUAUCGCUUUAUGAACAAUGUGCUAAGUGGGGAGUUUAUGCAGAGCUACUAAAUACUGAAUAACGUGGCUUUUAGUUCAUUUCAUUGUCUGGGUUAUAUUUUCUUAAUCUUUUUAGUUCUUACGUUUCCGUGCAUUUUCUUUUACGUGAGCUCCCAUGCAGCUAAAAGGUAAAUUCUUGAACAUUUGAGUAAACGUGGUUGAACCAAUUUCAUGUGGAAUUUGAUGUAAUAAUAUCUGUUUGUGUUUUCUGUUUUCAAUGCGGUUAUUUAAAAAAACUAAUGAUUGUUUUUUAUAGGCUUUGGUCAUUGCUCAUCGACAUGAUACAAUUGUGAUGGCUGGGAGAGUACUGUUUGUAGAAGCUGGUAGGCUGCACGACAUUGAGUAGACGACUAAGGAUAAAAGGGGCCAAUUACAGAAUUUCAACAAAUUAUGAAGAAAUACCUGCUUAAGUUUUUCAUACUAUUAGCUCUAAACUUAUGUCAAAAUUAUGUUUUAAGGAAUAUACAUGUAGUUAUAGGUGUUAUUUGAACUUGUAAUUUUUUUAAGUGUGACAUUAUAUUUAUGUACUCUUAAUUUUUAAAUUCAAUAAAAUUUUCCUUUAUUUUGUCAUAUCU
Chenopodium quinoa (quinoa) is the source of this 2431-nucleotide long non-coding RNA. RefSeq lists it as uncharacterized. The transcript has 2 exons. NCBI's taxonomy places the organism in Eukaryota, Viridiplantae, Streptophyta, Magnoliopsida, Caryophyllales, Amaranthaceae. The record is from RefSeq and is a predicted model, not a curated record.